This 491-nucleotide ribosomal RNA is filed under the name uncultured bacterium. RNAcentral describes it as "bacterial SSU rRNA". It matches the Rfam family "Bacterial small subunit ribosomal RNA", at positions 588 to 1084 of the family's 1533-position model. The record is from RNAcentral.
UCAGUUGUGAAAGUUUGCGGCUCAACCGUAAAAUUGCAGUUGAUACUGGAUAUCUUGAGUGCAGUUGAGGCAGGCGGAAUUCGUGGUGUAGCGGUGAAAUGCUUAGAUAUCACGAAGAACUCCGAUUGCGAAGGCAGCCUGCUAAGCUGCAACUGACAUUGAGGCUCGAAAGUGUGGGUAUCAAACAGGAUUAGAUACCCUGGUAGUCCACACGGUAAACGAUGAAUACUCGCUGUUUGCGAUAUACAGCAAGCGGCCAAGCGAAAGCGUUAAGUAUUCCACCUGGGGAGUACGCCGGCAACGGUGAAACUCAAAGGAAUUGACGGGGGCCCGCACAAGCGGAGGAACAUGUGGUUUAAUUCGAUGAUACGCGAGGAACCUUACCCGGGCUUAAAUUGCAGAUGAAUUACGGUGAAAGCCGUAAGCCGCAAGGCAUCUGUGAAGGUGCCGCAUGGUUGUCGUCAGCUCGUGCCGUGAGGUGUCGGCUUAAG